RNAcentral lists this long non-coding RNA (371 nucleotides) under Lathyrus oleraceus (garden pea). RNAcentral's name for it is "Pisum sativum (pea) long non-coding RNA (PSAT_LNC030322)". The record is from RNAcentral. Lineage: Eukaryota; Viridiplantae; Streptophyta; Magnoliopsida; Fabales; Fabaceae.
UUUCCAUCACAACAAUUCACUCUUCAGAGUUAUGAAAAGAAACAAGGAGAUAGUUGGAUAAACAAAGCUACAAGCAUCACACUAUGCCAACAGGAUUGAAUGCCAAAACUGUAAUGUAAUUUCGAGAGAAAAAAUAAGAUCAAGACCAAUACGCAUUGAGAUUGCGAAUGGUACUCGACUGCAAACAUACAGCCUUAACCCCACUGCUACGUUUAUUUCCUUAUUACAACUUAUUAAAAACAACCGAGACAAAAUUUCUACCGCAACAGAUCAGCAAAAUGAAAUAAUCCAAUCGGAGAAAAAUACAAACAUCAUAGCAUGACUUGAGUGGUUACCGUAAGGUCACAAUGUGUUGGCUGUUGGUAGCUGAC